AUUUCAUCAAGAGCAGUCGAGGGAAUGGCCUUAUGACACUGCGGCAACCCCCAUACGGGAUAGGUGCUACGUCCAGCGGAAAAAUCCGGCAGAUGAACA
This 99-nucleotide non-coding RNA is filed under the name Megasphaera cerevisiae. Its description in RNAcentral is "SAM-I sequence". It matches the Rfam family "SAM riboswitch aptamer (S box leader)". From Rfam's summary of the family: The SAM riboswitch is found upstream of a number of genes which code for proteins involved in methionine or cysteine biosynthesis in Gram-positive bacteria. The SAM riboswitch acts at the level of transcription termination control. The record is from RNAcentral. RNAcentral also lists the same sequence under 1 other name. Lineage: Bacteria; Bacillati; Bacillota; Negativicutes; Veillonellales; Veillonellaceae.